RNAcentral lists this ribosomal RNA (718 nucleotides) under Clostridium yunnanense. RNAcentral's name for it is "Clostridium sp. YIM B02505 partial 23S ribosomal RNA". It matches the Rfam family "Bacterial large subunit ribosomal RNA", at positions 1554 to 2282 of the family's 2925-position model. Lineage: Bacteria; Bacillati; Bacillota; Clostridia; Eubacteriales; Clostridiaceae. The record is from RNAcentral.
AGCUGAGGUGUGAUGGGGAAGGCCUUUUAGGCUGAAGUACUUGAUUCUACGCUGCCAAGAAAAGCUUCUAGGGAGAAAUGUAGUGCCCGUACCGCAAACCGACACAGGUAGGUGAGGAGAGAAUCCUAAGGCCGGCGGAAGAAUUACAGUUAAGGAACUCGGCAAAUUGACCCCGUAACUUCGGGAGAAGGGGUGCCUACGAGAGUAGGUCGCAGAGAAUAGGCCCAAGCAACUGUUUAGCAAAAACACAGGUCUCUGCUAAAGCGAAAGCUGAUGUAUAGGGGCUGACGCCUGCCCGGUGCUGGAAGGUUAAGGGGAAUCGUUAGCGGUAACGCGAAGCGGUGAACUUAAGCCCCAGUAAACGGCGGCCGUAACUAUAACGGUCCUAAGGUAGCGAAAUUCCUUGUCAGGUAAGUUCUGACCCGCACGAAUGGCGUAAUGACUUGGGCACUGUCUCAACUGUAAAUCCGGCGAAGUUGUAGUGCAAGUGAAGAUGCUUGCUACCCGCGAUUGGACGGAAAGACCCCGUAGAGCUUUACUGUAGCUUAGCAUUGAGUUUCGGUAUUGUCUGUACAGGAUAGGUGGGAGACUUGGAAGCAUUCUCGUUAGGGGAUGUGGAGUCGUCCUUGGGAUACCACCCUGACAGUACUGGGAUUCUAACCGGGCACCAUGAAGCUGGUGACGGGACAUUGUUAGGUGGGCAGUUUGACUGGGGCGG